AUUUUCAUCAUGUCCUUGACUUGAGCUCAGGAACUCAGCUUUCCUUCUGAGUUAAGUUAAAACUGUAAUUAAUGGGGAAAAUUGUUACCUACCAUGCCUUCAGCUUCUGGAAAAAUACCAAGGAUUGUUCCAUACCUGAAAAUGGAGUUAACAUCUCUAUGAUGGUGGUGUGUGUGUUUCAAGAGGAAUCAAAAGUCAUUGAUGUGGAAACUGAAGUGGAGAUAAAUUGUUACUUGCCCUGGAACACAGAGCUAAUGCUUGUCUGAGGAGGACCAAUGUUAUCAUGAGGGUGAUAUCCUUACUUGCACUUGAAUUGGAUUUAAAUGAGGAAAAGCUGUGCAAAGUCAGUAGACUCAUUUUCUCCUCUAGAGACACUGGAUUGCAAUGGCAAGACAUAAAUCAAGAUGACUGGGUAUAACUCAGGAUUCAGUGGGAGAUCUUGGCCUUUUUAUAAAGUCUUUCCCAAAUCCCAGUUUGUCCGAGGCAAGACCCAUUCAGUGAUUUAAGAUAAAUCAUUGAUUUACCUUAGUAAGGUAAGACCUGAGGCAAAAGAUGGCCAGGUUUACCUUCACAAAAGAAUCAGUCUUGGCGUGGAGGGGGGGAAGAUCUCAGAGUUUCUGGCCAGAACAGAAACAGUUGUUAUUUAUACUCAUGCCAUCAAAACUCAAACAAUGAGUAAGUGAAAUUUUAUUAAAACCCAUUAUAUGGCUAUAUAUGUAAAAUCUUUUGCUAUUAGUGCAAACAAACCUUAAUUGUUGCUAAGUGUCUGGCCAACUUAGCACUUCAGCAGUAACUUGCUGAUUGUUCUGCCCUUCAGUAUCUUCAGAACCAUUAAUCUACAAUUCUAAAUUUAAAUCCGUAGAAGGCUUGGACUGUGCAGGCCACCAUUUUCACCACUCCUUCUCAGUUGGUCAUAUUGCCCACACCUGGGCCAAACAUCAGAAUGACCCAGUCACAACUGACAUUUGUUCUGGUGCCUGCUAUCACCAUAACCUGUACCCUUGCUAUACUAACUCUCCACAGUGCUCUAUGUUACUUCUGUGGACUUUUAAAAACUUGCCAGCCCUGGGAAUCACCUCACCUGGAUAACAUUGUCAUUCUGUGGGCACACCUGCAACCUUCUUUGUGGUUCAAUGAAUUUUAAGGCUCAGUUCCAAGCUGUGGGAAGAUGGAGUCCAGGGUUAUAACCCCAAUAUUGUAAAUAGUUUUUAAAGCCAACAUUCCAUCUGAGCUCAUCCUUGUGUGUGAAUGGAUUGAUUUACAAUGAUUGGCAGCCACCAUUCAGAUAUUUUAACAAAGCAGAUAGAAUCUUGUAUAUAUGGCAUCAACUCAAGACAAAGUUUAACAUUAAAUGAAAAGAAACUGCUACCUGACUAUGAAAAUGAAUUAAAUCAGAAUUAGUUUUUAUUCUCCUGCUACAAGGUCUUAUUCACUUUGGAUGAAUAAGCAAGUUACUAUUUUUAAUACUGUGCCAAUCUGCCCCAAAUCUCUCAAGGGUGAUAAAUUUGGGAAGGCAUGAAAGAGAGGGCGAACAACAAAGGAGAACAGUUUGUAUCCAUGGGCAUGCUAUUUUUGGACCAGACAUCUGAGUCAUUCUCACACUAAUUUAGAUAGUUCUAAGGCUCUUAUGACUAUGGAUCUCAAGACUUCCUACAAACAGCAGCGAUAAUAAAUAUUGCUUUCCACCUGAGACAUUCAAAGAUUAUCACAUAUAUUUAAUCUUAGUUUCCCCUGAAAUACAUAGCAGAUAAGUAGUCUUAUUUUUAUAGAUUGAGCAGAAACUAGAGGGUCUAUAUGAUUCAUCCUCCAUACAUUUGGAAUUGUGGAAGUAAGGUUUUAAGAACAAAGCAUUAAUGAAAUUUCUGGAAUCUAGCACUCUGGAUUCUGAAAUAGUACUACAGAAAACUAGGUACCAUUUUAAAAUUUUUUCAAAAUGUGAUCCAGUUUAUAAACAUGAUUAUAUUCUAUUUAAAGAAUAAAUGAAAGACUUACGGAAAGAGUACAUAGAGGAUAAUUAUUAUAUGUUUACCUAGCAAUUUACCUUUUUGAAAGUUAUUCAUUAUUUCAUCUGAUUCUCCUGAUAACCCUGUGUCAGCAAGGAGAAAUGGUAUUAUUGCCAUGUUACAGAUGAGGAAACUGAGGUUAAGGGAGGAUAAAUAAUUUAUCAAAGGUUACAGGACAGUGAUAGAGCCAGAUCUGAUUCUUGUUCUAAUGUUUUUCCCACUACACAAAUAUCUCUUGUAAUCUUCAAAUACCUAUUGAUGGUAUGACAGGGUGGGCCCGGACAAGCCUACAGUAUGUUGUGCAUAAGACAUGAAUUUAUCUAACCAAGACUUCAUUUUUCAGGAGAUUGGUACCUGAAAUGUUAGAUGAUUGCAUCAUAAGCAUAGGCCAGUAGAGCCAGGAAGAAGGAAUGGCAGAAAGAGAAAUGAGAUUGAAAAAACACAUGGAAGGCUUGCCUACAAAAAAAAAGGGGAACAAAGGACCAUGUAGACAAUUUUCUGGAACUGAGAAUAAAGGAACGGAGAGAUAACUAUCUUCUAUAGUUAAUAUAAAAGCUUGUUGGCUGCUGAGAAAAGCAGAGAGAGGCACAAUAUGGUGGAAUUGUCCCCUCACUCCAUCUGGCCACCCAAAAGAGACUUUCCUUGCUUCUGUGCAUGAAUCUUUCCCCACUAGUUACUAAUAGAGAACAUUGAUUC
Molecule: long non-coding RNA, 2699 nt
Organism: Sarcophilus harrisii (Tasmanian devil)
Lineage: Eukaryota; Metazoa; Chordata; Mammalia; Dasyuromorphia; Dasyuridae
Exons: 4
Source: RefSeq, a predicted model, not a curated record